This is a non-coding RNA of Ictalurus furcatus (blue catfish), 339 nucleotides long. NCBI's taxonomy places the organism in Eukaryota, Metazoa, Chordata, Actinopteri, Siluriformes, Ictaluridae. The record is from the annotation of a RefSeq genome assembly.
AUGAUCAAUGUUCUCAUCAUCAUAUUUCCUGCCAUACUCUUGUGUCUUGCAGUCCAGAAUCCUCCUGAUGUCAUAAAAUAUCAAGACGAGUUUGCUGAGAUCAAAUGUGCACACAAUGUAAAUAACUAUGACCGCAUACUGUGGUACAAACACAACCAGGACACAGGAUUUACACUCAUGGGAUACCUAUACACUGUUUCUUCAACGCUGGAGGAAGAAUUUGAAACCAAAAUCAAACUGAGUGGUGAUGGGAGAAAUAAUGGUUCUUUGACCAUGAAGAGUCUUUCAGUGAAUGACAGUGCUGUGUAUUUCUGUGCAGCUUAUUACACAGUGCUGUAG